This 440-nucleotide ribosomal RNA is filed under the name uncultured bacterium. RNAcentral describes it as "partial 16S ribosomal RNA". It matches the Rfam family "Bacterial small subunit ribosomal RNA", at positions 338 to 795 of the family's 1533-position model. The record is from RNAcentral.
CCUACGGGAGGCUGCAGUGGGGGAUAUUGCACAAUGGGGGGAACCCUGAUGCAGCGACGCCGCGUGGGUGAGGAAGUACCUCGGUAUGUAAAGCCCUGUCAGCAGGGAAGAAAAUGACGGUACCUGACGAAGAAGCCCCGGCUAACUACGUGCCAGCAGCCGCGGUAAUACGUAGGGGGCAAGCGUUAUCCGGAUUUACUGGGUGUAAAGGGGGCGUAGACGGCGUGGCAAGUCAGGUGUGAAAGGCCGGGGCUCAACCCCGGGACUGCAUUUGAAACUGGCAGGCUGGAGUGCAGGAGGGGCAGGCGGAAUUCCUGGUGUAGCGGUGAAAUGCGUAGAUAUUAGGAGGAACACCGGUGGCGAAGGCGGCUUGCUGGACGGUAACUGACGUUGAGGCUCGAAAGCGUGGGGAGCAAACAGGAUUAGAUACCCGUGUAGUC